GUUGGGCAUGGUGGCGCAUGCCUGUAAUCCUAGCAGCUCGGGAGGCUGAGAUAGGAGGAUUGCAAGUUCAAAGCCAGACUUAGCAACUGGGAGGUGCUAAGCACCUCAGUGAAACCUUGUCUCUA
Molecule: small RNA, 125 nt
Filed under: Marmota monax (woodchuck)
Lineage: Eukaryota; Metazoa; Chordata; Mammalia; Rodentia; Sciuridae
Source: RNAcentral